Molecule: long non-coding RNA, 922 nt
Organism: Ornithodoros turicata
Lineage: Eukaryota; Metazoa; Arthropoda; Arachnida; Ixodida; Argasidae
Exons: 3
Source: RefSeq, a predicted model, not a curated record
GUCACCGGGUACGGUUGUCAGUCCUUUCCUGCGCCACAUUUGGUGACCCGAACCUGGACAUAUGCAAACCUUCGGUUGGUUUCAUGGAACCCUUCCCGCCGUAAACUGUCCCCGCUGCUGGUACACCGCUGCCCGCAAUUCCGACAGCGGACCCGGCCAUUUCGGCCGCCGCCCCGCCACAGCUGCGACUUCCCCCUUUUUGGCGACCACCAGUUUCAAACCACAACUUUCCGAAAGGCGAAAGAAAAAGCUAUUGACUGCAACAAUCGGUUACAACUCCGACUGGGUGCCACCUUCGAAAGCAGCGAUUUGAUCUGUUUAUACGAAUGUUACGGAAGCAAUGCGCAACUUGUCUCACAAGAAGCCGAAGAUGUCUCGUGCGGGAUGCUGUGCCAACCUUAUCUGCAGCAGGAGAUUGCAGGGGCAGGAUUAGGCAGCAGAUAAAGGCAUUCUGGCACCACCGGAAAGCUUGCACUCCACGUCUCAACUACCACCGUCGGGGUUUCAAGCUGAAGGCUGUCACCAGUGCCAACCAGAUGCCCCUUCAAAGUUCAUCUGUUUUUGUUGACGGAACAAUGACGCCUGGUGAACCUGUCACGGAGAUGCCCUAUCCUUUGGUAUGCUUAGUUCAAGAUUGUACCGAAACAAUCCACCUGGAGCAUUAUUUUUCAAUUGACAGUGGCAUUACUAUUACAACACACCACAUGCUGCAUGUCUAAGGUGCGUGUACAAUGCAUCGAACCUAUUCUCAAGUGCAGGCGAACUGGUAUGCAAUUACAACAUGGAAAAAUUUACACAGAGGUCGUAAAGCCAUGCCUUUUCCUCCGCGCCUCGGGUUUCAUGUUGUUAUCCUCACAUGCAGCUCAUGUCGCCUGUGCUGGGCAGCAUGAGCAAAAGCACAUAUUGUUUUUGGUCACAUGAC